CAGUCGCCGCGGGAAUACGUAGGGUGCGAGCGUUAAUCGGAAUUACUGGGCGUAAAGCGUGCGCAGGCGGUUCGUUAAGACAGAUGUGAAAUCCCCGGGCUUAACCUGGGAACUGCAUUUGUGACUGGCGAGCUAGAGUAUGGCAGAGGGGGGUAGAAUUCCACGUGUAGCAGCGAAAUGCGUAGAGAUGUGGAGGAAUACCGAUGGCGAAGGCAGCCCCCUGGGCCAACACUGACGCUGAGGCACGAAAGCAUAGGGAGCAAACAGGAUUAGAGACCCGAGUAGUCCCUGUCUCUUAUAC
This 301-nucleotide ribosomal RNA is filed under the name uncultured bacterium. RNAcentral's name for it is "partial 16S ribosomal RNA". It matches the Rfam family "Bacterial small subunit ribosomal RNA", at positions 509 to 807 of the family's 1533-position model. The record is from RNAcentral.